This 399-nucleotide ribosomal RNA is filed under the name uncultured bacterium. Its description in RNAcentral is "partial 16S ribosomal RNA". It matches the Rfam family "Bacterial small subunit ribosomal RNA", at positions 28 to 526 of the family's 1533-position model. The record is from RNAcentral.
GACGAACGCUGGCGGCGUGCUUAACACAUGCAAGUCGAACGAAGUGGGAACGGGUGAGUAAUACGUGGGUAACCUCCCUCCUUUUUGGGAUAAGCCUUGGAAACGGGGUCUAAACCGAAUAGAUGGGCUCGCGGCCUAUCAGCUUGUUGGUGGGGUGAUGGCCUACCAAGGCGGUGACGGGUUGCCGGCCUGAGAGGGUGACCUGCCAAAGUGGGACUGAGACACGGCCCAGACUCCGACGGGAGGCAGCAGUGGGGAAUCUUCCGCAAUGGACGAAAGUCUGACGGAGCAACGCCGCGUGAGUGAUGACGGCCUUCGGGUGGUAAAGCUCUGUUAAUCGGGACGCGGUACCGGAAUAGAAAGCCACGGCUAACUACGUGCCAGCAGCCGCGGUAAUUC